Long non-coding RNA from Vigna umbellata (rice bean), 952 nucleotides. RefSeq lists it as uncharacterized. NCBI's taxonomy places the organism in Eukaryota, Viridiplantae, Streptophyta, Magnoliopsida, Fabales, Fabaceae. The record is from RefSeq and is a predicted model, not a curated record.
CUGGGAAUACUAACAGUUUCAGUUGUUCUAAUUUUCUGUGACUAACAUUUUUUUGCUGCCUUAGUCAGUUAUCUAACUUUACUAACCCUGUUUUGCUGAGUUAUCUCAGUUCACUAACAUCUCUUUGUUGUUUCUAACGUUCUUUUUACUGGUGUUGCUUUUGUAGGUUCUACUAAGUUUUAGUACCAGUUCACACAGAGUUUCAUUUUUUUUUGCUGCAGCUGUCCUACAGUUGUAGUUUCUAUCUUUUAUUAAUAUGUUAUUUAUAAUUGUACAUUAAUUUAAAUUUAAAUGUUACUUGAUUGUAGACUUUCCUUGUUUCAGGACAUUGUAGCAAAGUUAUUAUCAUUUUCACAGCAGAGGCCAAGGGCUUUGUGCAGCUAAACUGGAACUGGGACUGUUUCUUCUGUUACUCUGCGCCAGCCAGCUUCUACUAGCAUAAGUGUUUCUUAUGAGGUGAAUGUCUCAUCAGGAACUUCAUGAACAUCCAUGCCUCAUUUCUUAAUAGAGUCCCUUCCAAACCAAAGCAAUAAUAAUGACAGUAGUGUCCCUGAGACCAACUGAUAAGAUGCCUAGAGGUGCAAAAGCAAUUCUUGAGAACAUCAAAAAGGAAUAAAGAGAACAUGUGAAGAAGGAACCAUAUCACCACAUGCAGAGACAAUAGCGUUGUCAACUGUUUCAGAAUCAUUGUGAAUAUAGAACUGGAAAUCAUUGAAGAUGUUGGUGUUGGAGACAUUCAAGAAGCUUAUCCAGGUUAUUAGAAGAUCUCUUUUACUUUUUGUUAUCUUCAUAUUGUUCUAAGAGAUGACAUGAAUUUUAUCACUUGAAUGUGUUUUUAUUGUUUUUCUUUUGAAUGACAUUUAUGGUUACCUUUCCCUUCCUUUUAAGAUAAACUUGCUCAGAUCACUUAAGCCACUCUGAAUUUGUUGAAUUGUUGAAUUUGUUGAAUUGU